Molecule: ribosomal RNA, 421 nt
Filed under: uncultured bacterium
Lineage: Bacteria
Description: bacterial SSU rRNA
Rfam family: Bacterial small subunit ribosomal RNA
Source: RNAcentral
UACGGGAGGCAGCAGUGGGGAAUUUUGGACAAUGGGCGCAAGCCUGAUCCAGCAAUGCCGCGUGAGUGAAGAAGGCCUUCGGGUUGUAAAGCUCUUUUGUCAGGGAAGAAACGGGUGAGGCUAAUAUCCUUGCCUAAUGACGGUACCUGAAGAAUAAGCACCGGCUAACUACGUGCCAGCAGCCGCGGUAAUACGUAGGGUGCAAGCGUUAAUCGGAAUUACUGGGCGUAAAGCGUGCGCAGGCGGUUGUGCAAGACAGAUGUGAAAUCCCCGGGCUUAACCUGGGAAUUGCAUUUUGUGACUGCACGGCUAGAGUGUGUCAGAGGGGGUAGAAUUCCACGUGUAGCAGUGAAAUGCGUAGAUAUGUGGAGGAAUACCGAUGGCGAAGGGCAGCCCCUGGGGAUAACACUGACGCUCAUGC